CUGUUAGUCCUGGAGGCUCAAGUCCUCUGUUUAUCCACACAACAGGAACAACACAAUCAACAGCAGUGCAAACUUCUCCCACACCAUGCCUUAACUCUAAUCGGUGGCUUUGUCCUACCAGAGCCGAGAGGGCAGAGGAGUCUCCACGGCUCAUUCAGGUCUGGGCCUCU
This 170-nucleotide small RNA is filed under the name Chrysemys picta bellii (western painted turtle). RNAcentral's name for it is "TUC338 (ENSCPBG00000001925.1)". The record is from RNAcentral. Lineage: Eukaryota; Metazoa; Chordata; Testudines; Emydidae.